Molecule: ribosomal RNA, 467 nt
Filed under: uncultured bacterium
Lineage: Bacteria
Description: partial 16S ribosomal RNA
Rfam family: Bacterial small subunit ribosomal RNA
Source: RNAcentral
GAUGAACGCUGGCGGCGUGCUUAACACAUGCAAGUCGAACGGAAAGGCCAGUGCUUGCCCUGGUGCUCGAGUGGCGAACGGGUGAGUAACACGUGGGUGAUCUGCCCUGCACUUUGGGAUAAGCCUGGGAAACUGGGUCUAAUACCAGAUAGGACCAUGCUUUGGAUGGUGUGGUGGAAAGUUUUUUCGGUGUGGGAUGAGCUUGCGGCCUAUCAGCUUGUUGGUGGGGUAAUGGCCUACCAAGGCGUCGACGUGUAGCCGGCCUGAGAGGGUGUACGGCCACAUUGGGACUGAGAUACGGCCCAGACUCCUACGGGAGGCAGCAGUGGGGAAUAUUGCACAAUGGGCGCAAGCCUGAUGCAGCGACGCCGCGUGGGGGAUGACGGCCUUCGGGUUGUAAACUCCUUUCGCAACUGACGAAGCUUUUUGUGACGGUAGGUUGAGAAGAAGCACCGGCUAACUACGUG